Musa acuminata AAA Group (dessert banana) is the source of this 687-nucleotide RNA transcript. It is a transcript of the gene named protein PYRICULARIA ORYZAE RESISTANCE 21-like, with no coding region annotated. NCBI's taxonomy places the organism in Eukaryota, Viridiplantae, Streptophyta, Magnoliopsida, Zingiberales, Musaceae. The record is from RefSeq and is a predicted model, not a curated record. The transcript has 3 exons.
AUCCGCUUCUCAACCUGGGGUCUUAACUUUCGAGAGAUGGCAGAGGUGUUCAUCUCUCUCUCUCUCUCUCUCUCUCUUAAAAAUCUGUCUUCACUGAGAUCGUCACGGUAAUUAUCACGGUGGACCUGCACUGCUGCACCUGCUCCAAGAAGAUCAAGAAAACUCUGUGCAAGCUCCAAAACCGGUUCAACAUCGAAUCAAUCGUCUACGACGAGAAGAAGAACACCAUCACAGUAUCCGGCCCCUUCAACCCUGACUGCUUCAUCAAGAAGCUUCGCUGCCUCGCCUGCAAGGUGAUCAUAUGUGUCCAGAUCAAGCCGAAACCCGUCAAACCACCGCCACCGCCACCGCCGCCGCCGCCGCCGCCUAAGGUGGAGGUGGAGGUGAAUUUAGACGUGUGUGUUUUCCCGCCCCCGGGGUGGCCCAACUGCUGUGCCUGCGACGGCCCCCCGCCGUCCGCCUCCUGCCGUCCCUGUCGCGAGUUUGACGGCUGCAGGAUCAUCGUCGAGCAGGAGCCUUGUCAGUCCUGCUCUAUUAUGUAGUUUCCUAUACGUAUUCUUAUUCUCGUUGCAAGAUGUUAUUGGGUAAGAGAUAACGGAUAAGGCGGACAGAGGUAAACGUCAUGUGACUUCCUCUGUCAGCAAUGUACGUAUGUGAUGAUAUAUAUGUUUAUGCUGUUAUAUCUCA